AGGUGUCUGAAGAGUUCGAUGUUUGUUUAUUCUAUUUUGACCUAACACUUUUUGAUCGGGAGUCUAAUAGGUUUUCUUUUAGCGCACACGCCUCACAUGGAGGACUUGCAAAAUUAGAAACGGGACACCCACCUGUUUAUAGCAGGCCAAAAUGAUCAACACUUAAAACAACGGCUCACUUGGAUACUAU
This 190-nucleotide non-coding RNA is filed under the name Macrococcus epidermidis. RNAcentral's name for it is "6S RNA". It matches the Rfam family "6S / SsrS RNA". From Rfam's summary of the family: E. coli 6S RNA was the first non coding RNA to be sequenced, but its function was unknown until recently. It consists of 184 nucleotides that fold into an extended hairpin structure with a large single-stranded internal bulge. Lineage: Bacteria; Bacillati; Bacillota; Bacilli; Caryophanales; Staphylococcaceae. The record is from RNAcentral.